UACCAGCUCUCCGAGUGGUGGGGAUGCUUAUUGGGCCUAAAGCAUUCGUAGCCUGCUUGGCAAGUCCUCCGUUAAAUCCAACGAUUCAAUCGUUGGGCUGCGGGGGAUACUGUCCGGCUAGGGGGCGGGAGAGGCCGACGGUAUCCUCGGGGUAGGGGUGAAAUCCUAUAAUCCCGGGAGGACCACCAGUGGCGAAGGCUGUCGGCUAGAACGCGCUCGACGGUGAGGGAUGAAAGCUGGGGGAGCGAACCGGAUUAGAUACCCGGGUAGUCCAGCUGUAAACGAUGCAGGCUAGGUGUUGGCGCGGCUACGUGCCGCUCCAGUGCCGCAGGGAAGCCGUUAAGCCCUGCCCGCCGUGGGGAACGUACGGGCCGCAAGGACUUUAAAACGUUAAAGGAAUUGGGACGGGGGAGCACCACGAAGGUGUGAAGCUUGCGGUUU
Molecule: ribosomal RNA, 441 nt
Filed under: uncultured archaeon
Lineage: Archaea
Description: bacterial SSU rRNA
Rfam family: Archaeal small subunit ribosomal RNA
Source: RNAcentral